Long non-coding RNA from Amphiprion ocellaris (clown anemonefish), 1630 nucleotides. NCBI's taxonomy places the organism in Eukaryota, Metazoa, Chordata, Actinopteri, Pomacentridae. The record is from Ensembl.
GGAAGCUUAUUGUCUGCAUUCAACCAUUUGAUGAGGACAGGGAAACAAGAGCAGUCCACACCUUGCUGUGAGGGGUCGCGGGGGGCUGGAGCCUAUCCCAGCUGACUGAGAGCGAAGGCAGGUUACACCCUGGACAGCCGGUGAACCCGGAGAAAACCCUUGCGUGCACAAGGAGAACAUGCAAACUCCAUGCAGAAAGAUCCCAGGUGCAGGCCAGGACAUGAACCAGGGAUCUUCUAGCUGCAAGGUGACAGUGCUAACCACCAAGCCAAUGUGCAACACCAUUUUUUUCCUUCCAAAUUCAUAAAACCUAGAAAACAGAAACACCUUAGUUCAGUAGCAAACACAAGCUGCUAUUUGUGGAGAUGUAGUCUGGGAUACUCACAUCCCAUCUUUUAACUAAAGUUCAUAUUUUACCAAAAAUAAAAUAAAACAGGUGACCCGAUACCCGAGGGAUCAGGUGCUUGCAUAGAACACACAGAGAUAUGUGAAUUAGCUACAUUUAGCUACAGGAUUAAAUCAUUGACCACCAACAGUUUCUGAAAGGUGACAAUGAUACUACUACUUUGAUUGAUGCUGCUCCUAGCUAAUAUUUGGACUACGAGCUUCUGUCACUGUUACUAGUACCACCGCUAUAACUGUUCCAUCAGUAAGUAAGCUUAUAGCUAGAAAUACUAAUACAUCAACAUGCUAGUAUAGUAUGCCUGAUUAAUAGGUUUUAAUUUCAUAUGUAGGUUUUAUACCAAAGCACUGUUUUCCAUCAUUGACAUUAAUCUUUCAACUGCUCCUUGUUUGACCUCACUGUGAACUCGGCAUCCUUUCAAUUCACUAGUACAGUACCAGCAGUGCUACAGUAUGCAUCUGCUGGCUUACAUCACUUGACACACCCUGGACUAUGGUGGUUAAAAUACUGCUGCUUACUUGGACUCACCUUCACCACCUGGUGGUGCAAUUAUGUUCUACAGUCAGGGCCUUCAAUAAAUUACAAAAGGACUAAAAAGGGUGGACAAGGUAUGUUCUGGGUUUAACUAUUCAGUUUUCGCUGAAGUACAGUGUUGGGGAAAAUGUUGGGCCUACUUUGAAUAUAAGGACUGUUGUUGUUACCCUUCCUCUGAUCUGGAAGCCCCAUUAGUCUGUUGCAAAUCCACUUGUGUAUUUCAAGGAAAUAGCAAACCACCCAGGUUAUGUCUCCAGACACAUGGUCAUGGUAGACUACCAGGCUUUUCUAGUCUUAUCAGAAUAAUAGCUAUUACAGACAAACAAUAUAUAUACUGUAAUAUAUAAUUAAUAUAUAAUAAUACAGAACUGUUGAUUGAUUUGACCAAAUUUUUCAAAACGUUAAGGCAAACACCCAAAUGGGCUCAGUUCAAUUCUAGCUAUAUUCUGUCAUCCAUCCUAAAUCACAUGUUUAUUUGUAGACAGAGUAAUAAAUCAGUGCAAUAUAUGUCUGCAAAAUGUUCUCAUUUCCUGUACACUGUUACGAAUGUGAGUACUGCAAUUCCCUGUCUUCCUUUUGUUAACCGUCAUGAUGUUGUAAUGUGAUGAAUCUCUGUUGCAGUACUGCCAAAUGUUUUUGCUGUUUCCAGUGCAAAGUUGCACAUGGUUGACAUCUAAUGCUUGGAAACUGAUG